Long non-coding RNA from Phyllopteryx taeniolatus (common seadragon), 2632 nucleotides. RefSeq lists it as uncharacterized. The record is from RefSeq and is a predicted model, not a curated record. NCBI's taxonomy places the organism in Eukaryota, Metazoa, Chordata, Actinopteri, Syngnathiformes, Syngnathidae. The transcript is spliced from 2 exons.
GGCAGGAAACUAGGGUGUGUUCCGAAAUGCACUCGGAGAGCAUUCUGGUGCACUCUGGACCGUUUAGCAACUCGGAGCAUUUUUGGAAUAUGCCGUUCGGGUAUUCAUAGCGCUACACACUGAUAAUACCGGCGCCUCUCUCACCACUCUGGCCGGAGAGACAGAGUGUCGGAGUGUAAGGCAAGCUGUUCACGCCGUCGUUCACGCCGUCGUUCAAGCCGUCGUUCAAGUCGUCGUUCAAGUCGUCGCUCAAGUCGUUCAAGCGAGGCGGUAGUUCGUAAAUUCAAAAGAAAAAGAACACGCUGUGCCGUUCGGGACACUCGCACCCGAGAGUAGAGGUAGGGCAUCAGAUGACAUUUCCAAAUGUAACACAAGUAUGUACCUAAAAGUGUAAUAUUCAAUGUGCAAUUUUUGAAAAUGAUAAAAGGAGGAUAUUGUAUCAUUUGUGGAGGCAGAGGAGUGGUGCUACUCACACUGUGGCGUUGCUGUGAGUCGCAUGUGUGACGGACCGCUGCUGAAUGUGGCCGAAUGCACCCGCGCAUGGUACGGCAGGAAUAAUGACUGUCCUUGAAUGCACCCCAUGCCGGAUGUGGCUGCCUAAUGUAAACAUGAAUGGCGGCCGCACUGAAUCUGUUGCCAAAUAAAAAACAAUUUAAGCUAACGCUAACCUUAACCCUUUUAUUGAUUGAUUUUGUUGUCUUGUUCGGCUGUUAGGUCAAGCAGAAUGGAAAAAUCUGUAUCCCUUUCAUGCCGGAACAGCUUUACUGUGUUACAGUGGAGUUUUGAAGCUUCCGCUGUGGUAUUAUUAUAAUUGAGGUUUGUUGGCCCAGGGGUCCACCCGAGAGCAGCCCAGCGGACGGGACCCGUCCCACACCGAGGGACCCAGGGCGGUCCGCCGGCCCCACCGAGGCGCCCCGGCAACUGGCCACCCGGUGGGGGCCGCAGGGACCCAAAUGCCCCUCCCCACCACCCAACCCGCCGCCCCACACGCGGAACCUCCCCCCCUCCACCCCCAGGAGAUCGAGACGCCCCACCCCCCCCAACCCGCAGGGCCCGCAAUGCAGCCAGUCCCUGCCCUACUGUCUGAAUUUUAAUCAAAGUAGCAUUACAGUGUAUAGCUGCCUUAAUUAUUUCCUUAUUUCAUACUUGUCUAUUUUCUACACGUUAAGCGUUGUGCCACCCCAAAAUUACCCCGGGUCUCACCCACCCCCUCUAAGGAUUCUCUGGCUUCGCCCCUCCUUGCUAUGAGGCUCCACAGAAGCUCUGACCACUCUGGCGCCACUAAAAGAAUUCACUGCUAUCUGAAAGAACACUCUCAAUUCAAUCCACGAUAACCGUACUGAUAUAAAGUGAAAUCUUUUCAUGUUGUAUUCGAGAAAAAUCGGAUGCGUAAAAUGUUCCAGUCGAUUUUUAUUAAAAGAUCUGAGACUCUCGGCUGGGUUACCAGCCAGAACUCUUUCUGAGCACAUGAAAAAUUAUUCCUCUAACAGAGCAGGGGCUCACAGGUAAUUGGCCUACUGAUUAAUUCAAAGCACCUGAAAAGCUUCCCGGCCAAGACGAAGAUGUGCCCAUAAUGUGGACUCAUCUCACACCACUCCAGAAACGGAUUUUACUUGGAAACUUUGACUGUUUCCAGGCUACUCAAGCAGACGGCGUCCAUUGGCAUGCAAAUGCAUCACCCCUGAGGGGGUUGUAAAGUUGUGUGCUAAGUGAGCCGGUCUAACCCUGACAAUAUCAUCUCCUCAGCGUCAGUCUGCUCAAUUCCCUCUUCGAGUUGACAAGCUUGUCAAUAUUUCUACCUCACGCACACACAUCUUUUCACUGCACGCGAGCGGGCAGAGGAGUGUGAAGUGAAGGCUCGAAAAACAACAAGCGCGUCAGCUGCAGACACCAGCUGCUAUCCAGCAGAAUAUCCAUUUGAAUGCGCUUUGCUUCCUCCCUGUUGCGCUUUGCCAUGUCAGUCUAAACACUUUCAGCUUUAUCAGUCUGACAUGUUCACUCACCUUGAAAGGCCUAUUUGUCUCCUAGCUUUGCAAACGUGAUGAAAAAUGUUUCAUAUAUACUUUUUUUCAGAGUCACUCACUUUUCAUCGUUGUGUCUAAACCAAAGGCACCUCAAAGUUUUGCAUAGGAAGCGUUUGACCGUGAUGCUUGGAGCGCAGUCCUGAAAUCUCAACAGAGGCACAUUGACAAGAAGUGUGAUCAUUCUCAACUGUUGUGAAUGCGAGCCAGUUGUUGAAAUUGGAUGCCAUCAGCUUUUCCCUGAAAGACUGCCAAUUGCGAUACAAUUGGAGUUGAAUUGAAUUUCAUCAGAAAACUCAACAUAAACAAUCUUAUCAGAGCAGAGAGCCAGAUGAAGAUAAAGAACAAUCAAAAUCCAUAUACUUAAACUGAAUUCAUCGCGCAUGUCACAACUAUUGUACAUUACUAUUGUAGUGGAAUCCUGCAAACAGAUUUACCAUAGCAGUGAUUUCGACUAAGUUUGGCUAACAAUGACAGAUACGUUCUCCUAUCAAAUUUAUAAGUACCCAAAUUAACCGUGAUACUCUUGUGAUGCUGGCACACUUGAUUUUUUUUAUUCUGAAAUAAAACAUAUGGGUGAAAGCGAUGUGUCAGCCAUAUUUGCAACUCUG